CCCCGCCCCGAGCCCCCGUCCGCCCGUCCUUCCUUCCCCUCCCAUGCAUGAUGGAAACACCAUGGCUGCGGCAGCCCAGCUCUCCCUGACACAGUUAUCAAGUGGGAAUCCUGUAUAUGAAAAAUACUAUAGACAGGUUGAUACAGGCAGUACUGGAAGGGUGUUGGCUUCAGAUGCUGCUGCUUUCCUGAAAAGAUCGGGGCUUCCAGACUUGAUUCUUGGAAAGAUUUGGGAUUAGCAGACACAGAAUUGUCUAAGG
Non-coding RNA from Castor canadensis (American beaver), 259 nucleotides. The record is from RefSeq and is a predicted model, not a curated record. NCBI's taxonomy places the organism in Eukaryota, Metazoa, Chordata, Mammalia, Rodentia, Castoridae.